AUGCCUUACACAUGCAAGUCGAACGGCAGCACGGGAGCAAUCCUGGUGGCGAGUGGCGAACGGGUGAGUAAUAUAUCGGAACGUGCCCGGUCGUGGGGGAUAACGUAGCGAAAGCUACGCUAAUACCGCAUACGAUCUACGGAUGAAAGCGGGGGAUCGCAAGACCUCGCGCGAUUGGAGCGGCCGAUAUCAGAUUAGGUAGUUGGUGAGGUAAAGGCUCACCAAGCCGACGAUCUGUAGCUGGUCUGAGAGGACGACCAGCCACACUGGGACUGAGACACGGCCCAGACUCCUACGGGAGGCAGCAGUGGGGAAUUUUGGACAAUGGGCGCAAGCCUGAUCCAGCAAUGCCGCGUGCAGGAUGAAGGCCUUCGGGUUGUAAACUGCUUUUGUACGGAACGAAACGGUGAGCUCUAAUACAGUUUGCUAAUGACGGUACCGUAAGAAUAAGCACCGGCUAACUACGUG
This 468-nucleotide ribosomal RNA is filed under the name uncultured bacterium. RNAcentral describes it as "bacterial SSU rRNA". It matches the Rfam family "Bacterial small subunit ribosomal RNA", at positions 44 to 507 of the family's 1533-position model. The record is from RNAcentral.